RNAcentral lists this unclassified non-coding RNA (332 nucleotides) under soil metagenome. Its description in RNAcentral is "partial contains 5.8S ribosomal RNA, internal transcribed spacer 2, and large subunit ribosomal RNA". The stretch from base 1 to 120 matches the Rfam family "5.8S ribosomal RNA", at positions 35 to 154 of the family's 154-position model. The record is from RNAcentral.
GAUGAAGAACGUAGCGAAAUGCGAUAAGUAAUGUGAAUUGCAGAAUUCAGUGAAUCAUCGAAUCUUUGAACGCACAUUGCGCCCCUUGGUAUUCCGGCGGGCAUGCCUGUUCGAGCGUCAUUUCAACCAUCAAGCCCUAGGCUUGCGUUGGAGCCCUGCGGCUGCCGCAGGCUCCCAAAUCCAGUGGCGGGCUCGUCGUCGUACCGAGUGCAGUAAACAUCCUCGCUCAGGGAACGUGACGGGUUCUUGCCGUGAAACCCCCCACAUAUCAAGGUUGACCUCGGAUCAGGUAGGAAUACCCGCUGAACUUAAGCAUAUCAAUAAGCGGAGGA